UACGGAGGAUGCGAGCGUUAUCCGGAUUUAUUGGGUUUAAAGGGUGCGUAGGCUGUGAGGUAAGUCAGCGGUGAAAUGCCCCCGCUCAACGGGGUGAAGUGCCAUUGAUACUGCCUUGCUGGAAUGCGGAUGCCGUGGGAGGAAUGUGUGGUGUAGCGGUGAAAUGCAUAGAUAUCACACAGAACACCGAUUGCGAAGGCAUCUCACGAAUCCGCGAUUGACGCUGAUGCACGGAAGCGUGGGUAUCAAACAGG
Molecule: ribosomal RNA, 254 nt
Filed under: uncultured bacterium
Lineage: Bacteria
Description: partial 16S ribosomal RNA
Rfam family: Bacterial small subunit ribosomal RNA
Source: RNAcentral